UGGGUUUUCACCAUUUGGAACCCUAGAAUGAGAUUUAGGGUUGGUUUUGGGGCUUUUUGAUCUAGGGCUUUUGGGGCUAAAUUGAUCGGUCUAGAACCUUCCUAGGGCUUGGAUUGGAAGGGUUCUAGCUCUCUUUUAGAGCUUUGGAAGAGAUUUCUACUCUUGAGGUGAGUUUUGGCCUUUUUGCUUCUAGGUUAAAGUUUGAUCUUAUAUGAUGAUCGUAAUGCCCUCGUAUCUCUUCGCUGAUUACUUUUAGGGUAUUUUGAGACUCGGGGACAACUUGGUUCGGCGAGACGAGGCUCUACGCGACGGUUCGGUGGGUUUGACCUAGCCACACAAUGAGAAAUUCUCAUUUGUGCUUAAUUAAGCAUCGUUAAAUGAAAAAGCAUGCAUAUUCUUAUUAUGUGUAUUUAUUGUGAAUUUUAGAAUGCUCAAAAGGCCUAUGUUAUAUAUGAUGAAAUUUUGGGACCUCUAUGUAGUAGAGAGUAGCUUGUUAGGCCCAUAGUUGCAUUUAGCGUUCUAUAUGAGACGUGGUAUCAUGCUUCUAUAGUAUAAAUGAGUUCGGAUUCAUGCAUUUAAACCUAAGUUUACUUGUGACAUGAAAGUUGACAAAAUUGCCAUUUAGAAGCUAAGUGAGUUAGAGAGCUAUUGUCAUCAAGCGGCAUUGAGCUCAGGAUAUGUGGGAACCUAGUGGAUAGGGCCAUUAGGGAUUUGGGGAUACAUAUUGAACAUUAAAUGUCUAAGUGUCAUAAAGGGGCACUAGACCUAGAGAAUGUUGAAAUUUCACAUUGUGACUUAAACUAGAUCUUCGGGAUGCUAGUAACUAUACCAUGUUAGAGACAUGAGGAUUGGAUACUUGAGACUUGGACUUUGCUUGCUUGCCAUUUGUGCUCAUUCGCACAUGCUUGUGAGGGUCGCUCCCUACAAGUCGGCACUCCGGAGUUAGCCUAUGCGACUUAUGUUCGCUCGUGCGGUAUUGAGAAGCCUACGGGGUCGAGUGGGACAGACACAUCCCAAGAGUGGGGAUGUUGGGCUACCACAGGCACUUAGGCGGCACAAGCUGGACUACCUUUGGUAGGUCCUUGAUUGGAAAUGGAAAUCGAUACGGGGUUGAGAAUGAACAAUCACUACUAGAUAGACUUAGUAGUUGGGUUACAUUUGCAUGCAUAUAGCAUAGGGUUGAGACAUGUAGUAUACUUGACAGAUACCUAUUUCAUCACAGUAUACUUGGUUGCCACGAUAGAGCUUAUACAUCAUGUUCGAAUAAAGGGUUGUAACAGUAAACUAUUGUCAUUGGUUACUUUUCCUUAUGAUAGAAUAUAAGUACAGCAUUUUGACAUCGUGCUUAUGAGGGAUAUAUUAUUAUAGCAAUUUACUUAUGCAC
RNAcentral lists this long non-coding RNA (1384 nucleotides) under Ananas comosus (pineapple). RNAcentral describes it as "long non-coding RNA (ACOM_LNC035448)". The record is from RNAcentral. Lineage: Eukaryota; Viridiplantae; Streptophyta; Magnoliopsida; Poales; Bromeliaceae.